UUCGAGUUCGUCCCGGGCGGCCGCGGGGCGCAGAACGCGGCGGAGGCGGCGCUCAGUCUAGCCCCACGGCUCGGCGGGCGGCCUGCGCUCGAGCUGCAUCCCUGGACGCGGAGGCACCUCCUGUGGUCGGGCUGGCGGGCGCGGCAGCAGGCCCCGGCCCGGUCCGAGAGGCGGGCACGCUUCUCACGGGUUGCGGGGCCCUUACUCCAUCACAGCGCCCGGCGCGGAGGCAGCGGCGACGGCAAGGACGGCAGCGCGGGCGUCGGCUUCCUGGAUCUAGUGCACCGAGCCGCGGCGGCGGCGAACGCUGCUGCUGCGGCUGACGGAGACCGCCGCCGCUCUCUCCAUAUCGGACGCGGGGUCCGGACUGAGCCUGGCUCUCCGCCCCGGCGGUUAGAGCCCGGCUGUUCCCUGAGGUGGCGAAGCGGCUAGGGGAGGCCCCCGCCCGAGAGGGGAGGGCCGGGGAGGAAGUGCGCGGGCCGGCGGCGGCGGGAGGGGGCGGGGAGCAGGCCCGGCCGGGCCGCGGCGGCGCCCCUCGCUCCUCAGUCGCUCACUCCGAGGUCACCAGGCGCAAGCGCCGCCCCCUCACUGCCCGGCCAUCUUCUCCGCGCCACACACACGGACGCCUCCUCCGCCAAGCACCACGGCCGCCACCGCCCACGACGCCCGGCCGGCCGCGGCUGAGGCGAGCGCUCACACCGACAGGCCCCGCCGCCGCCCAGCGCACACGGCAAGGCCCCGCCGCAGGCCCCUCCCCUCGUGCCUCGCCGCCCUCACCCCGACUCCACGCGCCACUCUAGCUCGGCUUCCCGCACUACACAGCUUCCUCGGUGACCGCCAACGCGGAGCCCCGGCUGGGUCGCGCCAUGUGACGCUCCGCCCUGGCCCCACGCGGCCUCUCCUCGCCCGGGCUGACCGCGAGGUGAGGAGAAAGCUCCGCACCGCCCCAAGCCCCGCCCUCGCGGCCUUUCUCCUGGAACCGAGCUUCCAGACGGCCGAAAGGGCGCUGCCGCUGCUCGCCUGCACCCGCCCGGCUCAGAAGGGAGGUGGCGAGCGACGUGGCCGCGCGCCCCGCGGGCGUUCGGGCGGCGUGGGCUCUUUAGAGGCCGCGGCCCACGUCGACGGCACCCUGAGGCCUCUAAGGCCGGAGCAGGCCGUCUGAAGCGGUGGUGCCCGCACCCACCUUGUCUACCCGUCAGAGCGGGCUCUUUCUCCUAGUGCUUGGAGAACGACGGACGUGAGCAGCCCAGCCUUCCAGGGCACUGAGCUCUCCACAGGAAUCCAAUUAAACAACAAAACUAAUCUCUUUUUCUGUCCUUUAACAGACCUCGCCUUCUGUAUGAACAGAUAAAGAACCCAUGGUCCUGCUUUAGAACCUAAAUCCUUGAAAGUAUUACCUGUUUUUUAAAGUAAGUUUUGACCUCCUGUUUUUGCAGGAGACCAAGGUCAGUGAGGUAAAAACAAAACCCUAAUUUAACGUCUGACUCCCCUCCCCUCCAAAAGAACAAAACCGUCUUUAAAAAUAGAAACAGCGUAGGAAUCAUUAUCUCUGGAUACACCAAAGCUCUUCAGCAUAACUUUUUGCGCUUAGUAAAUGCUCUAAACAUGUCUGCAAACGAAGAUUUAUGACGUAUGUAAAUCUUUUGUGACAAAAACAUUUUUCUUUUAGAGGCUUGCCACUUAGAGUAGAAAUGAAGAGUUAAGGUAGCAACAGAACCCAUAUAACCUCUGAUAAAUUCUAUUACCAUUUGAGGACAUUUUCUUUGGAAGCACUAGCAUACUAUUAGUACGAAGUGUUAAAAAUAAUCUAUUUUCCUAAUUUUGUGAAAGAAAGCUGUGCAAAAUGUAUUUGGUUAUCUUAUCUAGAAAAUGGCAAAUAGUUUAUAAAAUUCACUCUCUUUUAAAAGUCUGGUCUUCCUUUUCUCUUAAAUAAAUCUUUUCUAAGCUCACCUUCAAAUGAAACUGUUUUAAUAUACAGUUCUAUUUUUAUUCCAGACUCAAGUUCUUCUACAACACACAGGUUGUUCUUCCCCAGAGGACCAACACGGAGAGUGAAAUGAUCAGCACUGUUUCCAUUCAGACAGUACAAGUUAGCGGUCACCCUAGACAAGUGAUUACUUGCAGGGCCUUAACCUUGCUGAUUUUUGCAUAAACGGAAUUUUUAAAAUCUCUUGAGAUGUGCACAUCAGAUUAAGAAUAAUUAAUAGAAUAAUUAAGAAUAAUAGAAUAAUUAAUUCUAUUAAUGGUUCAUGUGUGAGUGUGUAAAAGAGAAAGAAGAGGCAGUUUUUUUUAGCUUUUGAAAUUGGUUGCAAAUACUGAUAGGCUAUGACACUCAGAGGCAAAGCAUCUCCACACUGAAAUACAUUCCUUGUAUAAUAACUAUUUAUUUGUCUGAGGUUUGCCUGAAAAGAAAACAAAUGAACUGUUUAUAUUAAAAGAAGUGCCUGGAUCAAAUAUUUAGGAGAAUUCAUAUGUAACUUAAAUCUUAAACUAUCAACUUAAGGUAGUUUUUUUUCAUAUUUUGUGUUUAAUUAUUAUUUGGAAGUAAAACUGUUAGGGUUGCCAGAUCUGACAAAAAUACAAAAUGCCAGUUUUAAAAAUUACUUAACUUUUAAUUUGAAAAAUUUUGAAUUUACAGAAUUAUUGCACAGAUAGUACAGACAGUUCUCCUAUAUUCUACAUCCAAUUUCCUCUGUUAGUAAGAGCUUAGUAUUGUGCAUUUGUCACAAUCAAUGAACCAAUAGUAAUACAUUAUUAUUAAUUAAAAUCCAUAUUUUAUUCAUUUUUCUUCAGUUUUCCCCUAAUGUUCCUUUCUUGAUCUGGGAUGCCAUCAAGGAUAGCACAUAACAUUUAGUCAUGGCUCCUUAGACUCCUCUUGGCACUUAAAUUUUCCUUUCAGACAAACAACAAAUACUUGUUUCCUUCUUAUUAUCGUUUUUCCUAUCCAUUUUGAAUUAAAGCUCCCCUUUUCUGUCUUUCAAGAUUUCCAAGGGCUUACCUCUUUGAUUGCAUUUAUCAUACUAAGUGACAGUUGUUGAUUUAGUCCUAUCUUCUCCCUAUUAUGCUAGAACCAUUUGAAGAGCAGUUUUCUGCUCUUCUCUCUCUGCCUUUAUCAUCAUUGCCAAGCACAGGGUUUGACAUGUAAUGGCUACUCAGAUCAGAUCAGUCGCUCAGUCCUGUCCGACUCUUUGCGACGCCAUGAAUCGCAGCACGCCAGGCCUCCCUGUCCAUCAUCAACUCCCGGAGUUUGAACUCACGUCCAUUGAGUCAGUGAUGCCAUCAAGCCAUCUCAUCCUCUGUCGUCCCCUUCUCCUCUU
RNAcentral lists this long non-coding RNA (3317 nucleotides) under Bos grunniens (domestic yak). RNAcentral's name for it is "lncRNA (ENSBGRG00000003035.1)". The record is from RNAcentral. Lineage: Eukaryota; Metazoa; Chordata; Mammalia; Artiodactyla; Bovidae.